Molecule: transfer RNA, 71 nt
Filed under: Bacillota bacterium
Lineage: Bacteria; Bacillati; Bacillota
Description: Firmicutes bacterium (hot springs metagenome) tRNA-Gln
Rfam family: tRNA
About the family: Transfer RNA (tRNA) molecules are approximately 80 nucleotides in length.
Source: RNAcentral
UGCCAGAUCGUCUAACGGCAGGACAGCAGACUCUGGAUCUGCGAGUGGAGGUUCGAAUCCUCCUCUGGCAG